This 490-nucleotide ribosomal RNA is filed under the name uncultured bacterium. Its description in RNAcentral is "partial 16S ribosomal RNA". It matches the Rfam family "Bacterial small subunit ribosomal RNA", at positions 30 to 507 of the family's 1533-position model. The record is from RNAcentral.
AUUGAACGCUGGCGGCAGGCCUAACACAUGCAAGUCGAACGGUAACAGGAAGAAGCUUGCUUCUUUGCUGACGAGUGGCGGACGGGUGAGUAAUGUCUGGGAAACUGCCUGAUGGAGGGGGAUAACUACUGGAAACGGUAGCUAAUACCGCAUAACGUCGCAAGACCAAAGAGGGGGACCUUCGGGCCUCUUGCCAUCUGAUGUGCCCAGAUGGGAUUAGCUAGUAGGUGGGGUAACGGCUCACCUAGGCGACGAUCCCUAGCUGGUCUGAGAGGAUGACCAACCACACUGGAACUGAGACACGGUCCAGACUCCUACGGGAGGCAGCAGUGGGGAAUAUUGCACAAUGGGCGCAAGCCUGAUGCAGCCAUGCCGCGUGUAUGAAGAAGGCCUUCGGGUUGUAAAGUACUUUCAGCGGGGAGGAAGGGAGUAAAGUUAAUACCUUUGCUCAUUGACGUUACCCGCAGAAGAAGCACCGGCUAACUCCGUG